UAGCAAUCAAGGCACUAAAUUACAGGAACUUUUUUUUCCCCUUAUAUUCAUUUAUAAUAGCUAAAUCUCUUACUGUCAUGUCAAUUGAAUCUUUUUCUUUUUUUUUUUUUUUUUUUUUUUGUCUUUUUAGGGCCAUACCUGCGGCAUAUGGAGGUUUCCAGGCUUGGGGUCUAAUUGGAGCUGCAGCUGCCGGCCGACACCACAGCCACAGCAAUGCCAGAUCCUUAACCCACUGAGCAAGGCCAUGGAUGGAGCCCAUGUCCUCAUGGAUACUAGUUAGGUUCGUUAACCACCGAGCCACGAUGGGGACUCCCUGAACCUUAUUUUUAUGAACUCACUAUCAAGCCAAUAUCACUGCUGUGUGAUUCUCUGCUGCUGACCUCAGUUAUUUAGAAAACUUAAACAAUGGGAUAUGUAGAAAAUCCAAUUCUCUGGCCAAUCAAAAGAAAAUCGCUUUUAUUUCCAAUACUUAUUAUUAAGUAUCGCUCUAAAAUAUGAGUUCACUUUUCAGUAUAAGUAAGUGUGGAAUAGUAGUCAUGAUUUACUUUAAUUCUACAUGACUAAGGACCUGACAAUAGUGCGGGGUAAAUAUUCUGAAGAGUAAUUAGAACUAUAGCAAAGAUUCUUAAAAUGGGUUUCAUAAUUGAACAUCACAGUUUAUGAACUGUCAGAAAUUCUAUGCAAAACAUUGCACAACUUUUCCAUGAGAAAAUUGGCCAUGACUUUCAUUAAUUUUUAAAGGAGCUGUGAUGAACAUUGAUCAGUUCUUUAGAAUACGCAAUAUAUGUGGAGCAUGGUACUAUUUAUACAAAGUUUUUAAAACUGGAAAAAAAAAACUAUCCUUUAGUUCUUGUUCACAAGUCCACGUAAAUGUAGUAAAAAGUAUAAAUCCUGCUCAGAGUUAAUAAACCCCAAUUUCAGAAUAGUGUUUACCUCUGUGUCUUCAUCUGCUCAGCCACUAUAACAAAAUACCAUAAACUUGGUGGCUUAAACAACAGAAAUUUCUUGCUCACACUUCUGGAUGCCAGGAAGUCCAAGAUCAAGGUUCUGGUUGGUGAGAAACUGGUUUAUAGAUAACAUCUCCUCACUGUGUCCUCCUUAAAGGGCAGGGGGUGGGGUGUGGGGCAAGAGAAGGAGAGGGAGGAAGCUCUGUGUCUCUUGCUCUCUCUUUUUUUAAAAUUUAAAAAAUUUUUGUCUUUUGGGGACUGCACCCCUAGCAUAUGGAAGUUCCCAGGCUAGGGUCAAAUCAGAGCUACAGCUGCCAGCCUACACCACAGCCACUGCAACUCCGGAUCCUUAACGCACUAAUCAAGGCCAGGGAUCGAACCUGUGUCCUCAUGGAUACUCGUCGGGUUAGUUACUGCUGAGCCGCACCAGGAACUCCUCUUCCACUUUCUUUAAGGAACCGGCAGUAUGGAAUCAGGGCCUCAUCCUUAUGACUCUAAUCUUAAUACCUCCUUAUAGGUCCUUUCUGCAAAUACAGUCACAUUGGGAGUUAGGGCUUCAAUAUAUGAAUUCUGAGGAGACACAAUCCAGUCGAUAGCAGUCUGGGAAGGGGAGGCUACAUGGAGGGUUUCAACUCUAUAUGUAAGUUGUUCCCUAAGAAAAUAAAACAAAACAGCUAAGCAAAUGCAGCAAAAUGUUAACAUCUGUCAGACUAGAGGAUAUAUGAGUUUUUAUUAAUAAUUAUUUAUGCUUAAAGAUUUUCUUUGAAAAGAAGAAACAAGCAAACCAAACCUUAUUUAGAUUUCUCUAGAAGGUGAGCUCUGUGUGGGAAAGGAUUUUAUUCACUUUGUCCUUUACUGCAUCUCCAUUACUUAGAAGAGUGUCUGGUCCAGAAUUGGCGUUCAAUAUAAAUCUGUUGAAUCGAAUGAAAGGAAAUGGAUAGGGAACCAACUCAUAUCUUUACUGAGCCUAAAACAUUCAACAACCUUAAAAACUGUUAGUAAUGUUGUGUGCAUUUUCUAGAAUUCCUUUGCUUAUAUGAAAUAAUAAAUCAUAUUAACAUAGAGUAAAUAAGGUCAUACGUGUCAAAGCAAUCAUAAGUAUUAAACCUAAGUAUGAGACACGAUGUCUUACUGAGAGAAUUGAUUAGAGUCAAGAGAGAUUUGAGGUUAAAUCUGACUUUUUAAUCUAAUUCCUGCCAAUUACAUUCAGUUCUAAGGGAUUAUGACUUUCCUAAGUUUCUGCUAAGGGACAGCAGCCAUUUUUCUAAUACAGACCCUUGUCACAUACUGUCUCUGAUUGUAUAAGGAUGGGAGUUGAUCUUAGGGUAGACACCUCAUCUAUGGGCUGGCAGACAAUCCGUAAACUGGGUGAUUUGUUUCAAAAAGAUGACCUGAGCCAAUCAGAUCCCCCCCACCCCAUUUUUUCUUUUUACGGCUGAACCUGCAGCACAUGGGAGUUGCCAGGCUAGGAGUCGAAUUGGAGCUUCAGCUGAAGGCCUACACCACAGCCACAGCAAUGCUGUAUCCAAGCCACAUCUGUGACCUACACUGCAGCUUGUGGCAAUGACAGAUCCUUAACCCACCAAGUGAGGCCAGUGAUCAAACUCACAUCCUCACGGACACGAUGCGGAGUUCCUGACCCACUGAGCCACAAAGGGAACUCCCAAUCUGAUUCUUUUUGGAUACAAGGAAUUAAGUGGAAGCUAACAGAUUUUAACAACUGGCGGAAGAGGCAGAAACUGAAAAUUAAGAAUGUGGAGACAGGUGAACUUCAUGAAGGACCAGGUAAAAGUCGAAGUUCUAAGAAAAUACGACUUCAGAGGGCACAGUAGAAGGCAAAUGUUAGAGAGAGACUAGAACAAACCUACAGAAAAGAAAUGUUUAGAAAGAGAGAGGAACCCUGAGGGCAUUUCUAGAGCCCAAAGCAGCCCAGCUAAAAUCCUCUAGUCAACUUCCGUAUUUUACUUUAGAAGUGAGGAAAUGUAUUUUCACUCACACACACAAACACACACACACACACACACACACACACACACACACACAGUUUAUAAAAAUACUUACGGAGACAACCUCAAAUACUGGAAACAACCUCAAAUUCUGGAAACAACCUCAAAUGUCCAUCUACAGAAGAACGGUAAACAAAUUGUUGUGUAUUUAGGCAAUAGACUAUUAGUCAGAAAUCAAAGGGCACAACCACUGUUAUAAGCAACGACAUGUGUGAAUCUCACAGACAUUAUGUUGAGGGAAAUAAACCAGAUACAACAGAAUCAUACUGGGUGUUCCCACUUAAACGAAGCCCAAGGAACAGGUACAACUAAUCAGUGGUGACAGAUUCAGAAAGCAGUUCCCUCUGGGAAAGAGAGGAAUUGAGUGGAAAUGGGUGUGAGGGAAUUUUCUGAGGUCACAGUUCCUCCUAUCUUGUUUUGGGUGGUAAAUGCAAUUGUUAAAAUUCAAUGGACUGAACAAUUUAAGAUUUGUGUGUGUUAGUGUGUGUACAUCAUACAGCAAUUUUUAAAAUGUGACUU
Molecule: long non-coding RNA, 3472 nt
Filed under: Sus scrofa (pig)
Lineage: Eukaryota; Metazoa; Chordata; Mammalia; Artiodactyla; Suidae
Description: lncRNA (ENSSSCG00000053355.1)
Source: RNAcentral